UUUGGUUAAGUUAGAAAGGGCGCACGGUGGAUGCCUUGACACUAGGAGUCGAUGAAGGACGGGACUAACGCCGAUAUGCUUCGGGGAGCUGUAAGUAAGCUUUGAUCCGAAGAUUUCCGAAUGGGGAAACCCACUAUACGUAAUGGUAUGGUAUCCUUACCUGAAUACAUAGGGUAUGGAAGACAGACCCAGGGAACUGAAACAUCUAAGUACCUGGAGGAAGAGAAAGCAAAUGCGAUUUCCUGAGUAGCGGCGAGCGAAACGGAAUCUAGCCCAAACCAAGAGGCUUGCCUCUUGGGGUUGUAGGACAUUCUAUACGGAGUUACAAAGGAACGAGGUAGACGAAGCGACCUGGAAAGGUCCGUCGUAGAGGGUAACAACCCCGUAGUCGAAACUUCGUUCUCUCUUGAAUGUAUCCUGAGUACGGCGGAACACGUGAAAUUCCGUCGGAAUCUGGGAGGACCAUCUCCCAAGGCUAAAUACUCCCUAGUGAUCGAUAGUGAACCAGUACCGUGAGGGAAAGGUGAAAAGCACCCCGGAAGGGGAGUGAAAGAGAUCCUGAAACCGUGUGCCUACAAAUAGUCAGAGCCCGUUAAUGGGUGAUGGCGUGCCUUUUGUAGAAUGAACCGGCGAGUUACGAUCCCGUGCGAGGUUAAGUUGAAGAGACGGAGCCGCAGCGAAAGCGAGUCUGAAUAGGGCGUUUAGUACGUGGUCGUAGACCCGAAACCAGGUGAUCUACCCAUGUCCAGGGUGAAGUUCAGGUAACACUGAAUGGAGGCCCGAACCCACGCACGUUGAAAAGUGCGGGGAUGAGGUGUGGGUAGCGGAGAAAUUCCAAUCGAACCUGGAGAUAGCUGGUUCUCCCCGAAAUAGCUUUAGGGCUAGCCUUAAGUGUAAGAGUCUUGGAGGUAGAGCACUGAUUGAACUAGGGGUCCUCAUCGGAUUACCGAAUUCAGUCAAACUCCGAAUGCCAAUGACUUAUCCUUAGGAGUCAGACUGCGAGUGAUAAGAUCCGUAGUCAAGAGGGAAACAGCCCAGAUCGCCAGCUAAGGUCCCAAAGUGUGUAUUAAGUGGAAAAGGAUGUGGAGUUGCUUAGACAACUAGGAUGUUGGCUUAGAAGCAGCCACCAUUUAAAGAGUGCGUAAUAGCUCACUAGUCGAGUGACUCUGCGCCGAAAAUGUACCGGGGCUAAAUACACCACCGAAGCUGCGAAUUGAUACCAAUGGUAUCAGUGGUAGGGGAGCGUUCUAAGUGCAGUGAAGUCAGACCGGAAGGACUGGUGGAGCGCUUAGAAGUGAGAAUGCCGGUAUGAGUAGCGAAAGACGGGUGAGAAUCCCGUCCACCGAAUGCCUAAGGUUUCCUGAGGAAGGCUCGUCCGCUCAGGGUUAGUCAGGACCUAAGCCGAGGCCGACAGGCGUAGGCGAUGGACAACAGGUUGAUAUUCCUGUACCACCUCUUUAUCGUUUGAGCAAUGGAGGGACGCAGAAGGAUAGAAGAAGCGUGCGAUUGGUUGUGCACGUCCAAGCAGUUAGGCUGAUAAGUAGGCAAAUCCGCUUAUCGUGAAGGCUGAGCUGUGAUGGGGAAGCUCCUUAUGGAGCGAAGUCUUUGAUUCCCCGCUGCCAAGAAAAGCUUCUAGCGAGAUAAAAGGUGCCUGUACCGCAAACCGACACAGGUAGGCGAGGAGAGAAUCCUAAGGUGUGCGAGAGAACUCUGGUUAAGGAACUCGGCAAAAUGACCCCGUAACUUCGGGAGAAGGGGUGCUUUCUUAACGGAAAGCCGCAGUGAAUAGGCCCAAGCGACUGUUUAGCAAAAACACAGGUCUCUGCGAAGCCGUAAGGCGAAGUAUAGGGGCUGACACCUGCCCGGUGCUGGAAGGUUAAGGAGAGGGGUUAGCGUAAGCGAAGCUCUGAACUGAAGCCCCAGUAAACGGCGGCCGUAACUAUAACGGUCCUAAGGUAGCGAAAUUCCUUGUCGGGUAAGUUCCGACCCGCACGAAAGGUGUAACGAUUUGGGCACUGUCUCAACCAGAGACUCGGUGAAAUUAUAGUACCUGUGAAGAUGCAGGUUACCCGCGACAGGACGGAAAGACCCCGUGGAGCUUUACUGUA
This 2108-nucleotide ribosomal RNA is filed under the name Bacillus thuringiensis serovar shandongiensis. Its description in RNAcentral is "bacterial LSU rRNA". It matches the Rfam family "Bacterial large subunit ribosomal RNA", at positions 1 to 2108 of the family's 2925-position model. The record is from RNAcentral. Lineage: Bacteria; Bacillati; Bacillota; Bacilli; Caryophanales; Bacillaceae.